CAAUGUCACAGUGGUUAUACAAGUGAGUCCUGUUCAGCGUGGGAGGAAAUAACACAAGAGGCAAAGAUCACUCGGGACCACCUUGUAUAUUGGCUACCACAGAACCCAACACAAGCAGUAAGUUAAAAUCAUGAAGCUCCUGACGUCAGAGGACAUGGCUCUGCCAUUUGUUAGGUAGGGAUCCUGUUAAAGGCUCAGCUUCCUCAUCUGGAAAUGGAAAUAUAGGCCUUGCCUGGUUUGCUGUAAUGGGUCGUGAUGAGGACCAAACUACAAAGAGUGGUACAGAUGUUAAUUACAAUGAUUUUUCCUAUGCCACCCAUGGAAACAAAAAUAGCAAGAUAGAGAAGGCUAAAUCCCAGUUUUUUUUGACUGCUAUUCAGCAAAGCCUAGGAGACUUUCAUGACACCUGGAGAGGCGGCCGUAGUGUAUGUGUAAGAGUACCGGUUCCAGAGUGGGGCUCCCCGAGCUCAGCCCCACCACUUACCAACAGCGGACCUUGGGCCAGAUGCUGAAGCCCUUUGUGCCUUGGUUUCCUGACCUAUUACUGUGGAAAUGAUGACAGUACCCUCCUCAUGGCAUCGUGAGAAUUAAAUUAGCUAAUUCAGGUGAAGCAUUUAGAAGAGGACCUCCUGACACUUAAUAACUGCUUGAUAUAAAUAAUAGCUUCUGCUACAGAGUGGCCAUGAAGUCUGGACAUGUAGAUAUUAUAUUAUCAUGCAUCAUAAGAUGGAGUCUCGCUCUGUUGUCCAGGCUGGAGUGCAGUGGGGCGAUCUCGGCUCACUGCAACCUCUGCCUCCUGGGUUCAAGUGAUUCUCCUGCCUCAGCCUCCCAAGUAGCGGGGACUACAGCACUGCAAUGAAUGCUGCUGCACACGCUGUUGAGCUCGUGGACACUUUCCUGCUGGGUGAGGACCCGAACGUGAAAUUGCUGGGUCAUGGAUUCAAGUGCUACACAUAUUUUUGACCACAUUACUGUGACUCAGGAAGCCCAGGAACAGAAUUCUAGGCACCAGAACCAUACAUGUUACAGCCUCUGAGCUUUAUGGCCUCUGAGCCAUUUGUCCAGCCACAUCAUUUGCAGAUGAGAUCCUGAGACUCAGGCUGGAAAAGUGACCGGGGAAAAGUCACACAAGUCAGAGGCAGAGCUGGAGUUUCCUCAUUUCCAGGCCCGUAUAGAUCAAGACGGACGUUGGUCAAACACCUCCUAGUACUCACAUGAAGAAGCUCUCCUUUCUGCUGUAGGAAUGAUCACACACCAUUCCAAUCUGGAUACCAAAUGUCAUUGUUUAUUAAAUGUGUGCAGUGUGCCAGGCAUAUUGUGUCAUAUGUUUACAUGUGUCAUAUAUUUACAUUACAUAUGAUCGCUGGUUCUUACAACAACCCUUCAAGACAGGUCAUAUCAAGCCCAUUUUUCAGACGGGAAAAAGAGCUCAGAGGGGAUGAUUAGCUUGUUCAGGUUUUCCAGUUUCCUUAGGAAGUGGCAGAGCUGGAUCUGAACUCUGCUUGUGACUACUUGGGGGAUGGAGGAGUGAACUCCUUUUUAUCAGAUCCUGG
RNAcentral lists this long non-coding RNA (1553 nucleotides) under Homo sapiens (human). RNAcentral describes it as "HSALNT0317399". Lineage: Eukaryota; Metazoa; Chordata; Mammalia; Primates; Hominidae. The record is from RNAcentral.